Molecule: ribosomal RNA, 440 nt
Filed under: uncultured bacterium
Lineage: Bacteria
Description: bacterial SSU rRNA
Rfam family: Bacterial small subunit ribosomal RNA
Source: RNAcentral
CGAGGCAACGCGAAGAACCUUACCUGGGUUUGACAUGUUGGGGACAGCCGCAGAGAUGCGGUUUCCUUAUGGUCCCAUCACAGGUGGGGCAUGGCUGUCGUCAGCUCGUGUCGUGAGAUGUUGGGUUAAGUCCCGCAACGAGCGCAACCCUUGUCCUAUGUUGCCAGCGCGUAAUGGCGGGGACUCGUGGGAGACUGCCGGCGAUAAGUCGGAGGAAGGUGGGGACGACGUCAAGUCAUCAUGCCCCUUAUGCCCAGGGCUGCAAACAUGCUACAAUGGCCGGUACAAAGGGCUGCGAAACCGUGAGGUCAAGCGAAUCCCAUAAAGCCGGUCUCAGUUCGGAUUGGAGUCUGCAACUCGACUCCAUGAAGCCGGAGUCGCUAGUAAUCCCGGAUCAGCAACGCCGGGGUGAAUACGUUCCCGGGCCUUGUACACACCGA